AGAGUUUGAUCCUGGCUCAGGAUGAACGCUGGCGGCGUGCUUAACACAUGCAAGUCGAACGGUGAAGCCAAGCUUGCUUGGUGGAUCAGUGGCGAACGGGUGAGUAACACGUGAGCAACCUGCCCUGGACUCUGGGAUAAGCGCUGGAAACGGCGUCUAAUACUGGAUAUGAGCCUCUAUCGCAUGGUGGGGGUUGGAAAGAUUUUUUGGUCUGGGAUGGGCUCGCGGCCUAUCAGCUUGUUGGUGAGGUAAUGGCUCACCAAGGCGUCGACGGGUAGCCGGCCUGAGAGGGUGACCGGCCACACUGGGACUGAGACACGGCCCAGACUCCUACGGGAGGCAGCAGUGGGGAAUAUUGCACAAUGGGCGGAAGCCUGAUGCAGCAACGCCGCGUGAGGGAUGACGGCCUUCGGGUUGUAAACCUCUUUUAGCAAGGAAGAAGCUUUUGUGACGGUACUUGCAGAAAAAGCGCCGGCUAACUACGUGCCAGCAGCCGCGGUAAUACGUAGGGCGCAAGCGUUAUCCGGAAUUAUUGGGCGUAAAGAGCUCGUAGGCGGUUUGUCGCGUCUGCUGUGAAAUCCCGAGGCUCAACCUCGGGCCUGCAGUGGGUACGGGCAGACUAGAGUGCGGUAGGGGAGAUUGGAAUUCCUGGUGUAGCGGUGGAAUGCGCAGAUAUCAGGAGGAACACCGAUGGCGAAGGCAGAUCUCUGGGCCGUAACUGACGCUGAGGAGCGAAAGGGUGGGGAGCAAACAGGCUUAGAUACCCUGGUAGUCCACCCCGUAAACGUUGGGAACUAGUUGUGGGGUCCUUUCCACGGAUUCCGUGACGCAGCUAACGCAUAAGUC
RNAcentral lists this ribosomal RNA (846 nucleotides) under Microbacterium trichothecenolyticum. RNAcentral describes it as "bacterial SSU rRNA". It matches the Rfam family "Bacterial small subunit ribosomal RNA", at positions 8 to 866 of the family's 1533-position model. Lineage: Bacteria; Bacillati; Actinomycetota; Actinomycetes; Micrococcales; Microbacteriaceae. The record is from RNAcentral.